UCUCUUCACUUCCCUUACCCUUCAGACCUAAAUAUUGGUCUGAGUGGAUAAAAAUAGGACAAAAAGAAUAACUGAAAUGACUUGGGGUCUUUAGUGAAACCCAAAUUCAUUUCAAACAUGA
RNAcentral lists this small nucleolar RNA (121 nucleotides) under Echinops telfairi (small Madagascar hedgehog). RNAcentral's name for it is "Small nucleolar RNA SNORA61 (ENSETEG00000026831.1)". The record is from RNAcentral. Lineage: Eukaryota; Metazoa; Chordata; Mammalia; Afrosoricida; Tenrecidae.